ACAUGAAAGGGUUUUCACUUCUAAGAAAUACAGGGAGAAAUGGGAGCUGAGUAAUACAUGUGUUCUAGCCUCAUACCUAAUGACAUGCAUUUAUCUUUUGCAGGGCUGAUUUCCAGUGGCACAGACCUGCUAACACAAAAGGUGCUUCCUCCCUGGAAGACUGAGCUGUGGCAGCACAGGUUGCUCCAGGUUAGACAGCAGGCUGGAGGCUGGGUAGUAAUUUAGGUCUAGGCAGAAGGGUGAAGACAUGCAGGAGGGAGAACCACAGGACUGUAACUGCAGGAAGGUUGCAAUGUCCAAUUCAGCCACUUGCAGCCAGCAGCUGCUCUGCUGCCACAGACUGUGCCAGUAACAUAACCGCGCCCUGUUAGGAUAAGAUACCAACUUGGAAGAGCUCCUCUUAAACGUGCUGGGUAGGUCAUUCCCUCACAUUUCAUCUAUUGAAAUAUUUUGGAACAAUUGCAUAAGGCACCUCUUGUUAAGGAACAAAGUACAUCUGUCUGCCACUAGCUUUGGCACAACACUUCUGCCAGCCAGUGACUGACUUGGCCAAUCCGCAAAGCAGAUUGCUUCAUCUACCUUUACAGCAAAAUAUGACUUGCUUAAGACUAACCUGCAGCUACACAU
Molecule: long non-coding RNA, 627 nt
Organism: Melopsittacus undulatus (budgerigar)
Lineage: Eukaryota; Metazoa; Chordata; Aves; Psittaciformes; Psittaculidae
Exons: 3
Source: RefSeq, a predicted model, not a curated record